CUGAUCAUCAAACAAUUGAAGAGUAGCUACUGCCAUGUUACCACUAGCGCCAAUAUUACCCAGGAUCGGUAUAGGAUCAUCUCGAAGUUAGGUUACGGGGCAUACUCAACUGUCUGGCUGGUCUGGGAUGAGAGGUUUAAAUCACUUUCUUAACGUUUUUGUUUGCUGACAGUAUGCUUCACUUAGCGUUUGCGCACGAGAUGAUGGGGCAAAUACCUUUCCCAUACUCAAUGAAGUUUCCAUGCUCCAGCACUUGAAGAAAUGUGCUGCUGCUGAAGAUUACCCUGGAUUGCUCGUUACACGUCUUGCGGAUGAUAUCUUUGAGAUUAACAUGCUAUCUGGUCCCCAUUAUUGUGUCUUCUCAAAACCUCAAACCGGCAGUCUACGAGAAUUAUAGAAGACAUUUCUUGAAGCCAAGGUGCUAAAGCUGC
RNAcentral lists this small RNA (431 nucleotides) under Histoplasma capsulatum. RNAcentral's name for it is "hypothetical RNA". The record is from RNAcentral. Lineage: Eukaryota; Fungi; Ascomycota; Eurotiomycetes; Onygenales; Ajellomycetaceae. RNAcentral also lists the same sequence under 1 other name.